Molecule: ribosomal RNA, 550 nt
Filed under: Hepatozoon sp. KCMS-2016a
Lineage: Eukaryota; Apicomplexa; Hepatozoidae
Description: bacterial SSU rRNA
Rfam family: Eukaryotic small subunit ribosomal RNA
Source: RNAcentral
CAGUGACGGUUAACGGGGGAUUAGGGUUCGAUUCCGGAGAGGGAGCCUGAGAAACGGCUACCACAUCUAAGGAAGGCAGCAGGCGCGCAAAUUACCCAAUUCUAACAGCAUAAGAGAGGUAGUGACAAGAAAUAACAAUACAAGGUAAUUAAAUUGCUUUGUAAUUGGAAUGAUAGAAAUUUAAACACUUUUUAAAGUAUCAAUUGGAGGGCAAGUCUGGUGCCAGCAGCCGCGGUAAUUCCAGCUCCAAUAGCGUAUAUUAAAAUUGUUGCAGUUAAAAAGCUCGUAGUUGAAUUUCUGUUAAAAAUAACCGGUCUGCUUUUAUUAAAAGUGGUAUCUUGGUGUGUUUUUAGCAAUAAUGUCCUUUGAAAUGUUUUUUACUUUAUUGUAAUAAGUCAUUAUUUUGAGGAUUUUUACUUUGAGAAAAUUAGAGUGUUUCUAGCAGGCUUACGCUUUUGAAUACUGCAGCAUGGAAUAAUAAGAUAGGAUUUUAGUUCUACAUUAUUGGUUUUAAGAACUAAAUUAAUGAUUGAUAGGGAUAGUUGGGGGC